RNAcentral lists this ribosomal RNA (992 nucleotides) under Vibrio sp. RNAcentral's name for it is "bacterial SSU rRNA". It matches the Rfam family "Bacterial small subunit ribosomal RNA", at positions 92 to 1079 of the family's 1533-position model. Lineage: Bacteria; Pseudomonadati; Pseudomonadota; Gammaproteobacteria; Vibrionales; Vibrionaceae. The record is from RNAcentral.
CGAGCGGCGGACGGGUGAGUAAUGCCUGGGAAAUUGCCCUGAUGUGGGGGAUAACCAUUGGAAACGAUGGCUAAUACCGCAUAAUAGCUUCGGCUCAAAGAGGGGGACCUUCGGGCCUCUCGCGUCAGGAUAUGCCCAGGUGGGAUUAGCUAGUUGGUGAGGUAAUGGCUCACCAAGGCGACGAUCCCUAGCUGGUCUGAGAGGAUGAUCAGCCACACUGGAACUGAGACACGGUCCAGACUCCUACGGGAGGCAGCAGUGGGGAAUAUUGCACAAUGGGCGCAAGCCUGAUGCAGCCAUGCCGCGUGUAUGAAGAAGGCCUUCGGGUUGUAAAGUACUUUCAGCAGUGAGGAAGGCGGAGUCGUUAAUAGCGGGCUCGUUUGACGUUAGCUGCAGAAGAAGCACCGGCUAACUCCGUGCCAGCAGCCGCGGUAAUACGGAGGGUGCGAGCGUUAAUCGGAAUUACUGGGCGUAAAGCGCAUGCAGGUGGUUUGUUAAGUCAGAUGUGAAAGCCCGGGGCUCAACCUCGGAAUUGCAUUUGAAACUGGCAGACUAGAGUACUGUAGAGGGGGGUAGAAUUUCAGGUGUAACGGUGAAAUGCGUAGAGAUCUGAAGGAAUACCGGUGGCGAAGGCGGCCCCCUGGACAGAUACUGACACUCAGAUGCGAAAGCGUGGGGAGCAAACAGGAUUAGAUACCCUGGUAGUCCACGCCGUAAACGAUGUCUACUUGGAAGGUUGUGGCCUUGAGCCGUGGCUUUCGGAGCUAACGCGUUAAGUAGACCGCCUGGGGAGUACGGUCGCAAGAUUAAAACUCAAAUGAAUUGACGGGGGCCCGCACAAGCGGUGGAGCAUGUGGUUUAAUUCGAUGCAACGCGAAGAACCUUACCUACUCUUGACAUCCAGAGAACUUUUCAGAGAUGAAUUGGUGCCUUCGGGAACUCUGAGACAGGUGCUGCAUGGCUGUCGUCAGCUCGUGUUGUGAAAUGUUUGG